GAUUUUUUUUAGUUUUAAGCAUCUUUCAUACAAUUUUUUCUUAACUCUUUUAUAUGAAGUUUGAUUUUACUGUAGAAAAAAAAUUCCUUUACAAAAAAUAUGCCAAAAUAU
RNAcentral lists this small RNA (111 nucleotides) under Arabidopsis thaliana (thale cress). RNAcentral describes it as "ATSL251820". The record is from RNAcentral. Lineage: Eukaryota; Viridiplantae; Streptophyta; Magnoliopsida; Brassicales; Brassicaceae.